AUGAACGCUGGCGGCGUGCCUAAUACAUGCAAGUCGAGCGAACGGACGCGAAGCUUGCUUUUCUGAUGUUAGCGGCGGACGGGUGAGUAACACGUGGAUAACCUACCUAUAAGACUGGGAUAACUUCGGGAAACCGGAGCUAAUACCGGAUAAUAUUUUGAACCGCAUGGUUCAAAAGUGAAAGACGGUCUUGCUGUCACUUAUAGAUGGAUCCGCGCUGCAUUAGCUAGUUGGUAAGGUAACGGCUUACCAAGGCAACGAUGCAUAGCCGACCUGAGAGGGUGAUCGGCCACCCUGGAACUGAGACACGGUCCAGACUCCUACGGGAGGCAGCAGUAGGGAAUCUUCCGCAAUGGGCGAAAGCCUGACGGAGCAACGCCGCGUGAGUGAUGAAGGUCUUCGGAUCGUAAAACUCUGUUAUUAGGGAAGAACAUAUGUGUAAGUAACUGUGCACAUCUUGACGGUACCUAAUCAGAAAGCCACGGCUAACUACGUG
This 496-nucleotide ribosomal RNA is filed under the name uncultured bacterium. RNAcentral's name for it is "partial 16S ribosomal RNA". It matches the Rfam family "Bacterial small subunit ribosomal RNA", at positions 29 to 507 of the family's 1533-position model. The record is from RNAcentral.